This 549-nucleotide ribosomal RNA is filed under the name Staphylococcus sp. RNAcentral describes it as "bacterial SSU rRNA". It matches the Rfam family "Bacterial small subunit ribosomal RNA", at positions 145 to 681 of the family's 1533-position model. Lineage: Bacteria; Bacillati; Bacillota; Bacilli; Caryophanales; Staphylococcaceae. The record is from RNAcentral.
AACUUCGGGAAACCGGAGCUAAUACCGGAUAAUAUAUUGAACCGCAUGGUUCAAUAGUGAAAGACGGUUUUGCUGUCACUUAUAGAUGGAUCCGCGCCGCAUUAGCUAGUUGGUAAGGUAACGGCUUACCAAGGCAACGAUGCGUAGCCGACCUGAGAGGGUGAUCGGCCACACUGGAACUGAGACACGGUCCAGACUCCUACGGGAGGCAGCAGUAGGGAAUCUUCCGCAAUGGGCGAAAGCCUGACGGAGCAACGCCGCGUGAGUGAUGAAGGUCUUCGGAUCGUAAAACUCUGUUAUUAGGGAAGAACAAAUGUGUAAGUAACUAUGCACGUCUUGACGGUACCUAAUCAGAAAGCCACGGCUAACUACGUGCCAGCAGCCGCGGUAAUACGUAGGUGGCAAGCGUUAUCCGGAAUUAUUGGGCGUAAAGCGCGCGUAGGCGGUUUUUUAAGUCUGAUGUGAAAGCCCACGGCUCAACCGUGGAGGGUCAUUGGAAACUGGAAAACUUGAGUGCAGAAGAGGAAAGUGGAAUUCCAUGUGUAGCGG